Molecule: long non-coding RNA, 1026 nt
Filed under: Parus major (Great Tit)
Lineage: Eukaryota; Metazoa; Chordata; Aves; Passeriformes; Paridae
Description: lncRNA (ENSPMJG00000003170.1)
Source: RNAcentral
AUGUCACCUCCCUGUCCUCCUCAUCCCCAUCCUCAUCCUCAUCCUCAUCCCAUCUUGUCUUCAUCCCUUCCUUGUCCCAUCCUCAUCUCUGCCCUGUCCUGCUCUUCACCCUCAUCCCCAUCAUCAUCCUCAUCUUCCUCCUUGUCCCCAUUCCUGUCCCCCCUUCAUCCGCAUCUUCAUCCCCACCCCUGGCCCCACCUUCAUCCACGUCCUCAUCCCCAUCCUUGUCUUCAUCCCUUCCUUGUCCCCAUCCUCAUCCUCCUUCCCAUCCUCCUCCCUGUCCCCCCUCCUGUCCCCAUUUUAUCCCCAAACUCAUCCUCUCUCCAUCCCAAUCCUGACCUGUCCCUGUCCCCACCCCUGUUCCCAUCUUUAUCCACAUCCCUGUUCCUGUCCCCAUCCCCGCGUCCCUCACCCCUGUCCACGUGUCCCCAUCCCUCUUUCUGUCCCCAUCCCUCUUUCUGUCCCCAUCCCUGUGUCCCCAUCCCUGUCCAUGUGUCCCCAUCCCUCUGUCCACGUGUCCCCAUCCCCGCGUCCCUCACCCCUGUCCACGUGUCCCCAUCCCCAUGUCCCCAUCCCUCUUUCUGUCCCCAUCCCUGUGUCCCCACCCCUGUCCAUGUGUCCCCAUCCCCCUGUCUGUGUCCCCAUCCCCCUGUCUGUCCCCAUCCCCCUGUCUGUCCCCAUCCCUGUGUCCCUCUGUGUUCCUGUCCCCGUAUCCCACUCCCCCUUCGCCAUUCCCACGUCCUUUCCGUGUCCCAUCACUGUCCCCCGUGUCCCUGUCACCUGAGGGUCUCCUUCACCACAGCCCGGAGCAGCGGCAGCCGUGCCAGCGCAGCGGCGGUGGCAGCAGCAGUGGCCCUGUCGGUGGUGGCAGUGUCACCGCGGGUGCCCCUGUUGGUGGCAGUGGCAGCCAGCAGCUCGCGGUGCAGGGCCGCCUGCGCCCCCGGGUUCCGCGCCAGCUCGUACAGGCUCCAGGCCAGCGUGCUGGCCACCUGGGGACACGGGGGACAUCAGCGGGACCCACAGUGA